GACAUGAAAGUAAGCCUAAGCAAUGUUACAAGAUAUUGGAGCAACUUCUAUUUAUGAGUAUCGUUUUGAAAAGCAUUGAGGGUGCUCGGAUGGAUAGAAUUUUCACAUCAAACAAUCUUGGCACGUAACGAUUUUUUUUUUUCGGACACUUUGCGGAAGGAAUUUAUCCGAUUUCGAUUUCAAAGACUCCGAUUAUGUGGAAAACAAAGAACUCAGUAGUAUCCAAACUUUUCGAUUGCGCUACGUGUGUGACAUUCUCAUGCACAAAAUACUCGACUGAGCGAGGAGGAAGAUAGAAGUCCGUUAGGCUUCCUAUGGUGGCUGAAUAGUUCUCGUGGGAGCGAUUCGGUAGCCGAGGACGACGCUGACAGAAUGAUAGUCUGGCUCUGUAGACUGUCUCAAAGGCACGCAGACGAAGGUGUAUAACUGCUUUGGCUGGUGCUCAACAUGCUUGAACUCCCCGGAAUGUCGGAAAUAUGUUUGAUUUAAUUAAUCACUAGCAACAUUGAACCGAUAACUAGUUAUCCUAUGGAAACGGGUUGGUGAUUUGUUCCUGGCUAUGGCAUUGACUUGCAUUGUUAUGAUUAUGAUGUGCGUCAGACGAUGGAAAAGGUUAUCGUCUUUGCUGUGCGGCUCACCAAUCUAGAUAUGCAGCAUUAUUGGAUCAAAAUCAAUUAAGUCUCUGUCCCAUAAAUCUGCAUUGGCUCUGAUUGGCUAUAGGGUAAGUGACAAACUCUGAACCCAGAUAACAAUAGAUGUAAU
This is a long non-coding RNA of Armigeres subalbatus, 762 nucleotides long. RefSeq lists it as uncharacterized. Lineage: Eukaryota; Metazoa; Arthropoda; Insecta; Diptera; Culicidae. The transcript is spliced from 3 exons. The record is from RefSeq and is a predicted model, not a curated record.